UUUAAAACAUUAAUUAAAAAUGAUUUAAAAACUAGGUGAAAUAAAUUUUAAUUGAAUAUAUCCCAACUUACUACAGUAUAUAAUCAAAGUAAAAACUGAUUUUUUUAAAGGCAAGUGUAUAAAAGCCUUUGAGGUACACUGCUUAUGAUAGGGCACAUUUCAACUUGGACAGUCCCCAUCUUUGGUAUUCGGUGGCCAAAUGACUCAUGAUUGCCAUGGGAGUCAACAAGAGUCUGACAAUGAAUGUGCCCACCCUGGUGGCCUCUGUAGCCCUUUUCCUUGCAGUUCUGUGGAUGAGGGGUUUCCAAACAAAGUUGUCUAGGUCACAGUGAUACACUGCUUUCACUGGCUCUGUCUUGUUACGUCAUCUGUCUGUGGGCUGCAGGACAUAAACUCCUAGCCCAGAGUCAUCACUUGCUCUAGGCCCUCAUUGUCUGUGGUGUGGUGAGGAGCCCAGGUGAAUCGGUCCUUACUCUCCACCAUGUGCACUAUCCUGGCCACUAAGCCAAGGGGAGCACACUUACAUCUCCUCAACUAAAGGAUCACUUCUACCUACCUUUCAAUUCCUGUAAUUCACUUGAAUGUCAAAGAAUUGGGCUCUGGUUAGUGGGAGUUCAUUUCUGCAAUGUCAACCUGGCCAUGGGGUGGAGGCCAGGACCUGGGGCCCUCCACCACAGACAGGAAGGUGAACCAAGAACUAGAUGGACCUGGCCUCCAGUCCCCUGGCCCCGUGGUCACAGGCUCCUGAAUAUACUGGCCUGCUGGGUCCCUGGGCUGGCAGGGACACAGCAUGUCCAGGUGCUUCACAUUCCUACAAGUAUGUGUGAAGCUAGCACAGGCCACCAGAAACUGAAAAAUGUGUGGAACAGGGAAGGGCCUCAGCACAGGGUCAGACUGGAUCAGUACCCAAAUCAAGACCACCCAGCUUUGUUACUAGUCCUUUGAAUAGUGACCUCAACACUUGUUUACUUCUUAGAGAUGUGUCUUUGCAUAAUGAACAGUGGAGGCAUGGGAUGUGGGGAUCUCAUUCAAGAGAAAAGGUGAGGCUAGGUAUGGUGGUGCAGGCCUAUAAUCCUAGCACUUGGGAGGUAGAGGCAGGAGGAUCAAGAGUUCAAGGUCACCUUCAGCCACAUAGGAAAUUUCAGGCCAGCCAGGGCUUCAAGAAACCUUGUAUGAACCCUGCUCCCCUACAGAAAGAGAAUGACAAAUAUACCUACCCCUUUUGGGGUGGAAGAGGUUGAGUUCCACUUAGCUACACCCCAGCCUGUCACUAUUAGAAUGUAGAGCGUGGGAGGUGGAAGGGGAAGUGGCCGCAGCCCACUAAGGGGUGUGAAGCAGUGUCAAAGCACAAGAGCCACUCUGACACUAAAGCAUGGUGGUCCUGCAGCCCUCCUCUGGGCGGGCGGGCUGUUUCACGUCAUCAUCCUGACGUGAAAGCAUUCCUCUGCUUGGGGACAGAUGAGUUAAGAUCAGAGAGAGCACACAGGAAGAACUUCUGUGUGCACCAGAGCAAGCACAGUACCUACAUAUAGGCUUCAUAAAAAUCAAGCAAAAGGUCUCUCCAGCAGAGAAUCUCAACAACAUCCCCCUAGUCCAGGGAUAAAGACAACUCUUGAACCUAGGCUCUUCUGUUCUCACCAAAGUUGCCAACACUGCUGGGCAUUCCAUUUCAAAAUUACACAACAAAAUAUUCCAGGUCUUGGUCUGGGUUAGAUUAUAAUUCACAACAAAUACAAUGCUAAUAGAAUUAAGCUUUAUUCCACCAGGAUAUACAAUCAAAUCAAUACUGUGCUUUAGAAACCAGUACAAACAAAGGACAAGCCCCUUUUGCCUGUCCUGGUGGAGGCUGCUGAGAUGGAUUAUAACUGGUCUGAUGCUGUACUAUGUAAGGGAAAGCAAAGACACGUCCAGGAAUUCUGUUGGGCCCACACUGGCCUCCAGCUCUGGGUCAUGGGAGGGCUGCCUUUUCCCUCCCUUUCCCUGACUCCAGCAACCUCUGCCCAUAAACAUCUGACAGUGUCUCAAGUAGACACUGUAGGAUAAGGUAUGGAAGUUGGGGCCGAAUGCCAAUUCACCUCUCCACCCACCUGGCUGUUCAGUCCCUCAGUUCCAAACAAAAUAACACACAGAGCAGCCAGGCAGACUGAGCUGCCCCUGAAGAGCUGUAGGAAGGUGACCACAGAAUGCGGGUGGCUGUUGCUCUCUACACCAGACACCACAGCAGUAACUUCUCUCAGGUGGAGGUCAGGGCCUAAGUAAUUCAUCGAUGCCUCUUUAGAUGGGGCACAAGCAAUGAGUACCACACCAAGUGCCGAUACCUGUGCAUGCUCUUAGCCCUGGGUGUGUUCCCCUUAUCUGAGCUUAAGAAUCCCUUGUUUGCUGGGUGGUAGUGGCGCACGCCCUUUAAUCCCAGCACUCAGGAGGCAGAGGCAGGCGGAUCUCUAUGAGUUCAAGGCCAGCCUGGUCUCCAAAGCGAGUUCCAGGAAAGGCACCAAAACUACAGAGAGAAACCUUGUCUCAAAAAACAAAAACAAAAACAAAAAAAAAAAAGAAGAAUCCCUUCUUCUGUGACACAUACUCUACAUAAAAGAUCAGAGAAAACCUGGAAAGAGCACAGUUCUGUGUAAGGUUCAUGAAAGAGGCCAGAGUAUCCAGACUCAGUGUGAUGGGUUUAAGAGGCUCACAGGUCUGUGGCCAUUUGCUUCAGACUUACUGGACCCUGGUUCUGCUGGGCUGUGGGCCUUGUCCACUGGCUAGCCUUGCCCUCCCCACUGACAGGCCACACUGAAGGUGGCACAAAGGCGCCAUACAACCGGUCUCUGAUGAGAAAAGGGAAAAUCCAGGACAGAGAGAAAAGGAAAAGUGUAAGCAGCCAACAGCGUCUCGGAGGUUGUGGUUAAAGAAACCACUUGUCUGCUAAGGCCCUCAUUCCGUGACCCACUGGGCCCUGAAAUCUGCCACAGAGGAAGAGAGGGUCUAAAUCCUCCCUGGUUCAUCCACUCCAGGAGCUGCCCAGAGCCCACCCAAGAGCAUAAGCUGGUGUCAGAGGCACAGCCCCAAGACAGAGGAGCUGCUCCAGAGCCACUAACACAACAUGGCACACACAACCUCAGGUAGCCCCAAACCAAGGGAAAACGAAACAACUCUUUUUCUCCAAGUACACAGUAGUUAGGGUUUUUCAUAUGGUAUGGUUUUCUUUAAACAAAAUGGAAAAUGCUGUUGGCCUCUUUUAAGGCUUUGAAGCUAUUUAGAGCUGCUUGUGUGUGUGUGUGGGGGGGGUCACUCUGCGCUACAGGUUGAACAUCUCUCCUGCUUGGCAGCACACAGCCAACCUGACCUGCAUCCAGAGUCAGGCAGUAAGGAACAGCCUGGAACUGUCUGAGGCAGAGAGAAAGAGAGCACAGGACCACCAGCCUGGAAGACAGGCCGCUAAGCAAGAGCCCGGGGUCUCAUGAAACAAGAGCUUACAGAUGUGAAAAUGACUAUUGAAAUUGUCUACAUUUACAACGCAUUCACACGUUUAUUCAAUGUCAAUAUACAGAGGACAGCCUCCAGUACUUCAGAAUGUCAAGGAUGUGGUAAGUCUCUUGCUGUGACGGUGGCAAGGGAACAGAAACAUGGUUCUUAGACUGAAGAAGUAACAAUACUGAUAUUCAAGCUUCGUUAGUUAUUGCAACAGUAGGAGCUCAGCUCCCUGUAUUUCACAGCAGGAGGGCUCCUCAUGAAAUUUAUUCAAGUUGUGAAGAGAUCAGAUGAAAAUGUAAGAAAGGAAAUACACAUUUACCUUGACUCUCACCGAAGAUAAAUACCCAUACACCUUUUCACAUGUCACCUGAUAACAACUUUAAAACCCAAGUACACACAAGUUACAAGGCAGGAUUUUCACACUUUGAACUCAGGAAUUGAGUCAGGAAUUGAACCAUGACACAAAGAUAAUGUAACAAUUGCAGCACGGAUGAAAAACUCGGCAUCCACAGGACAGUUGCUCCAUCAGAAGAGCGUGUUCUUACAGUUGAGCUUGGGAAUACAAGUGCUUUUCCCCAGCGAGCCACAGGCUUCACUAAUGCCACACUGAUGUCCCCUCUCCCUGGGACACCACAGAGCACUUUGAUGAGCACCGUGUUAACCUAAGCCAGCUUGUGGUGGUCCAGCCAGCCCAAGGCAAACAGCACACUCUGGACAGAAACAGGCCUGCUGGGUGUGGUGGCUCCUCCAGACAUUCCCGAUCGUGGGUAGUUCAGCCUUAGAGACCAAACUCCAACCAGAGGCCUUCAAGUCAAUAUCAGGCCUACCCAGAGAAGUGCAUGGAGGCUCUAUGGGUGAGGGAAGAGACCUCGCCAGUGGACACACGUGCCUCAGUGGUACAGCUGGCCCUGAGCCAAGAGGCAUAAGGGACCAUGGACCCCUUCGGCCAUGACUGCCCACAGCAUAGCCUGCAUUCCAAGAUCAGUCACUGGAAAAGCUACCACUAAACUGUCCCUAGUUUUUCCUCAAGUGGUCAGACGGACUGGAGUGGCACUGGGGUUUCCACAGGACCCUUUUCUGGCCCUACAUGUCCUGUGUCUUGUUCCUCCUCACACUUUGAGCUUGCUCAACAAAUAAAGAAAACAUCUCCCUCCAGUGAGAGGUGAGAGGACCUUGCACACAUGAACACACAUGUGCUAAGGCAGGCUCACUAAUUUUAGCACAAAUUCAGUAUGUGAAAAUUUAUUAAAACUUCAGAAUGUAUCACAGGAUGAGGAGGGAUGGGAGAAAUGGCUGUCGGACAAUCACGCCUUGGGUGUUUUAAGACAAAUACUAGAGGGGACACUGGCCACCUGGGGGUAGGAUGUGUGUACACAGCCACAGAAACUGAAGUUUUAUAGCCCUUGUCACACCUCAUUUCAGAGUGUCUUUCAGACACUGUGGCUUCUUUCUUGCUCCACCUCUGGGCUUUCCUAAAAGCACUCACUCUUCAGCCUGACCUAAGUGGCUCUCAAAACACUUGUAAACUCAGUCAGCAUGACCAACAAACUGAAAGCUCUUUACCCUAUGUAGGUCAAUUUGGAGUCCACAGUUACUGGCUGCAGGCAUCACCCAAUCUCUCUGGGACAUUUGCUCUGAAAAGAAGGCACAACUUCUAAGCCUCUCAGGAGGGCGGGGUGUGGUUCAGAAGUGCAGCGCCUGCCUGGCAGCUGUUGAGUCCUCUGGCUCGAUCCCUGGGACCCCAUGCACACAGAGAGAAAAGUGGGAACGGACUGGGGGCUGAUUCACCAGUUACAGUGCAGCUGGCUUCUGGAGUCACCAGAAAGGUUGCCUGUGGCGGGCGAGCAGGACAGAGAGGAGACUCGACCUGUACAGUGGUGCCCUCACUGGGCCCCAGCAGAACUCUGGGCAACACCACGUGGACCUGACUUCUGUCUGUAAGGGCCUCUUGCCAAAAGCUGUUUUAUUCCGGGGCUAGUUAUCAAAGACAUUCUUGCUUAUGAAAAUGCUCAACCAAGAAACAGGGAAGUCUUGAUGAGGAAGCUCAAAGUUUGGUGAGAAAACUAAAAACGUGCUCCCCAAAUUUCUCUGGGUGGCUACUGUGGAAACAGGGUGGCCCUAUGUCUCAUUCUUUGGAGAUCAGAAACCACCAUGACACAACCCCAUGACACCCCACCACCUCUGUCUGCAGGGCACAGGAGGAAGGAGCCCCCGCCCUCCAGCGCCCUCUUCUGGAGCUGCCGCACCUUUAGUUCUGGUCUUGGAGAACACCUUGCACUCUGUCCUCCUGCCUGCAGAACUGCUCUGCCGGCUGUCAAAGAAAGGGGGCAGGAGUCAGUCAGGGGGGCAGAGUGGGCUUAGGGCAGCAUUGCCCUGCAUGCAGGGGCCAGCCUGCGCCAGAUCAUGCAGCUAAGACAGCCCCUCUAGAGCUGACCCUGGGCUCUUACCAGUCCCUGAAGCCGGCAGGGGAGCCCAGGAGAGUAAGACACAGCAAGGGGCCCUGAACAGGGUUUCCAGAAUAGACAUUAACGGUACUACACUUAAGCAGCAGAAAUUGGAAGAGACUGUGACCAAACCCCAAAUCACAAACUGACAUUAUCGUGGGGAUGCAGAAAAGAAUUCACAGGCCUCUAUCGGACAAUAUAGGAGGCCUGUUUUUUUGCUUUCUUUAAAGGAAACAGUAGUAUCCACCUCUUGUUCUGCUCUCCCAAUUCCCAACAGCAAGUGACUCUUAAGUCGCCUGUCAGCGCCCCAGCAGAUGGGGCUGGGGAUGCUACUGGUCCUGGAGAUCCUUAAGUGCCCAUUAUCUGUGCUGAGCCCACAAGGAUGGCUCCCCUGCCAGCAAAGACAGCUUCAGAACUGAGAGAUCACCAUAAGCUUUACCAUAAACACUACUUACCUAUGACUGGCCACUCUACUUAGGCCAAACACAAAGUCCUGAAUUUGGAAACUGCAUACUCAAUGCCUCAGAAGCAUUUGAAAGUGAAUUUAGGAAACUAUGCAUGGAGUGUUCAUUUCUAACCUGCCCACCUGGCAGCCCAAUUUGACCUCUGAAGUCCAGACAGUCUACAUGGUGGCAGUCUUUGCUACCUCAGAUCAGUUAACCCUAAGAACUAAGGGGUAUAUUUCCAAGGCAGAUGGGACAUGAGCAUCCUUGUGAAGAGCUGCUCAGGGACGUGAAAUGCCUUGGCACACAGGUGAGAUACCCUGGAGGGUGCAGUGAUCUUAUGGGCUGUCACAUUAACAGAAGCCACCUUCAAGGAGGAAGAGGAUAGGGAUGGGGGCACAGUUCCAGCCAUGAACAAGCUGGAGCGUGGGAAGGGGCCUGGGACCUGGCCUGGCUUUCUGGGGAGUGAAGCCAGGUAGCUGGCUGCUGUCUACCAGAGUUUUGACACUGCGGAGACAUAAAAGCCACCAAAUCUUUGCUAUUGAGCCAUAGUCACUACUCAAGCCAAUACAAAUGACCCUUCCUGCUAUAGUUCAUUACAAAGGUGUACCAGACAGAAAAAUAAUCCUAAAUGUUCUAAAUAAAUUAACAAAUAACUUAUCAUUUUGACACAAAAUACCCAGCUCAAAGAACUACCCUCCACUGUGAAAACCAGAGCGUGAAUGAAAUUCCCUGAGCAACUGAGCAGGACCUAAGUAGUUGGAAGCGAACUUCAAUCCCCACCACUGUCCUGCCACAGGGGCAGUCCACACAGCACUGCUCUUGAGGGGACACAGGCCACCAGGGCCCCAAGGGAGGCACUCAGGGCAGGAUCUGAGUCCUGCACCAGCAUCUGUCUCCAGAGCCCUCCUGGACUCACAGCUGCCAUCCAAGAACAUAAUGGAGUGGGUGUGCCUUGUGCUUUCCCUAUGGGGGAGCGGAGCCCCGGCCGCAAUGCCAUGUCAGAAGGUGCCCUGCAGCCCGGAGCACCUAACAGUUCACAUACAGCUGAACUGAGGAGCCUGCCCUUGACCUCCAGACCCACCUUCCUGACCACAAAACAAAGCCCCCCACCAACAGACAGACAGAACCUUCUUUUCCCUGUUGGGGAAAAGAAAACCACAAGCUAUGCACAUCUGACAUGUAAGUCUUAGCUGAUGUGGCAAGAGGCCCUUCUGAAAGCUGCAGCUAGUGUCCUUGGCCACAGCACAUCUGAACUGUCCAGGCUCUGGAACAUGUGGAGAGUUUAGUGCACAAUUGCAAUCAGAGUUCUACAAACUGCUUCUUUGAAAAACGAUGUUUAUUAAACAAUUUUAAUUGUCAUAAAAUGACUAAAAUGGGUUUUAAAAAUUAAGGCUCUUCUCUUUCUGUGGAUUGCCAGACAAUGUAAAAAUAAUAUCAAUCAACCCUGAUGAACGCUUUGUUCCUAAGUUAAAUUUCAUAGAUUCCUAAACAUUUUAUGAUUUAAGAUUAAAAAGUUGGGCUAUAAAUGAUAA
Molecule: long non-coding RNA, 7887 nt
Organism: Peromyscus californicus insignis
Lineage: Eukaryota; Metazoa; Chordata; Mammalia; Rodentia; Cricetidae
Exons: 2
Source: RefSeq, a predicted model, not a curated record